Molecule: ribosomal RNA, 520 nt
Filed under: uncultured Glomus
Lineage: Eukaryota; Fungi; Glomeromycota; Glomeromycetes; Glomerales; Glomeraceae
Description: SSU rRNA
Rfam family: Eukaryotic small subunit ribosomal RNA
Source: RNAcentral
AGCAGCCGCGGUAAUUCCAGCUCCAAUAGCGUAUAUUAAAGUUGCUGCAGUUAAAAAGCUCGUAGUUGAAUUUCGGGACUAAUAUGUCGGUCGUGCCUCGGUACGUACUGGUAUUUUUGGUUUCUCCCUUCUGACGAACCUUGAUGUCAUUAAUUUGGUGUCUUGGGGAAUCAGGACCGUUACUUUGAAAAUUAGAGUGUUUAAAGCAGGCUCACGCUUGAAUACAUUAGCAUGGAAUAAUGAAAUAGGACGUUUGAUUCUAUUUUGUUGGUUUCUAGGAUUGACGUAAUGAUUAAUAGGGAUAGUUGGGGGCAUUAGUAUUCAAUUGUCAGAGGUGAAAUUUCUUGGAUUUUUAUUGAAGACUAACUACUGCGAAAGCAUUUUGCCAAGGAUGUUUUUUCAUUAAUCAAGAACGAAAGUUUAGGGGAUUCGAAGACGAUCAGAUACCGUCGUAGUCUUAAACCCAUAAACUAUGCCCGACUAGGAUCGGAUGAUGUAAUUUUUAAACUGACUCAUUCGG